UACGGAGGGUGCGAGCGUUGUUCGGAAUCACUGGGCGUAAAGCGCGUGUAGGCGGCCCACUAAGUCUGAUGUGAAAGCCCGGGGCUCACCCCCGGAAGUGCAUUGGAAACUGGUGGACUCGAGUCCCGGAGAGGAGAGUGGAAUUCCUAGUGUAGAGGUGAAAUUCGUAGAUAUUAGGAAGAACACCGGUGGCGAAGGCGGCCCACUGGAUCGGUACUGACGCUGAGGUGCGAAAGCGUGGGGAGCAAACAGG
Molecule: ribosomal RNA, 253 nt
Filed under: uncultured bacterium
Lineage: Bacteria
Description: partial 16S ribosomal RNA
Rfam family: Bacterial small subunit ribosomal RNA
Source: RNAcentral